This 482-nucleotide ribosomal RNA is filed under the name uncultured bacterium. RNAcentral describes it as "bacterial SSU rRNA". It matches the Rfam family "Bacterial small subunit ribosomal RNA", at positions 32 to 524 of the family's 1533-position model. The record is from RNAcentral.
AAUCAACGCUGGCGGCGUGCCUCAGACAUGCAAGUCGAACGAUUAAAGCUCUCUUCGGAGAGUGCAUAGAGUGGCGCACGGGUGAGUAACACGUAAGUAAUCUACCUUCGAGUGGGGAAUAACGUCCGGAAACGGACGCUAAUACCGCAUAAUGCAGCGGCAUCAUAAGAUGACAGUUGUUAAAGAUUUAUCGCUUGAAGAGGAGCUUGCGGCAGAUUAGCUAGUUGGUAAGGUAAUGGCUUACCAAGGCUACGAUCUGUAACCGGUCUAAGAGGACGGUCGGUCACACUGACACUGAAUAACGGGUCAGACUCCUACGGGAGGCAGCAGUCGGGAAUUUUGGGCAAUGGGCGAAAGCCUGACCCAGCAACGCCGCGUGAAGGAUGAAGUAUUUCGGUAUGUAAACUUCGAAAGAAUGGGAAGAAUAAAUGACGGUACCAUUUAUAAGGUCCGGCUAACUACGUGCCAGCCGCCGCAGUAAC